UCUUCUUCAAAGCAUCCCAUCGCUCUCUCACCUGAAGCAUCUUCAGACGCUCAAACUUAUUCAUUGCGAGUCUCUUCAAAGCAUCCCAUCGCUCUCUCACCUGAAGCAUCUACAGAGGCUCGAACUUCUCAUUUGCGACUCUCUUCAAAGCAUCCCAUCGCUCUCUCACUUGGAGCGUCUAGAGACGCUCUCCCUUGAUCGUUGCGACUCUCUUCAAAGCAUCCCAGAGCUCUCUCACCUGAAGCAUCUACAGGAGCUCAGUCUUUCUUAUUGCGAGUCUCUUCAAAGCAUCCCAGAGCUUCCCUCCUGCAUACGGAUGCUUGGAGUUUCUUGUUGUCCCAAAGUGGAAAGGUUUCCAAAUCUUUCCGAUUUGGAAUUUUUGUCGGAAUUAGGCUCGUGAACUGCGAUGGGCUGAAGAAAUUGGAUGGACUGGGAUCUUUAAAAUCCCUAAGAAGGUUGCACCUACCGCUAUCAUAUGAAAAGGUGGAUCAUCUCCAUGUGAUAGAAGGCCUUGAAAAAUUGGGAUCCCUAGAAGAUGUGAAUAUCUCUGGGCGCAAGCACAUUCAAGUACUAGACCUUUCAAAGUCGGAGCAUCUGAAGUUGUUGUAUGUUGUGGAUUGCAAAAGCUUAGUUGAAAUUCGCUGCCCUAGUAAAUUCCUGAAGACCUUUUAUACGUAUGGGAGCAACUAACUCGAGAAAUUACCAGACUUUAUUAUUGAGGAUUAUGAAGAAUAUUCAGAUUCUAUGGAGGAUGACUAAGAUCUGUUUCUGGAGAUCGUUGAAGUCAUUUACUAAACAAAAAAUAUAGCAGCAACUGGAGGAAGUUGUUUGAGCAAAGUAAUUGUAAUGCUUCAGUGUUAUCUGGCUCGUGAUCAUGAUAUGAAUAUAAAAGGCAGUGAAGGUGCCAUAAACAUGUUCUGCAUUUUCUUAAAGCCAGGGCACUAAUGUCAAGAUGAUGAAUCUCCAUGGAUCUGUAUCAAACUUUGCUCGUCGCUUAACAUGCCAAUGUGAAGAUUGCUAUCUCGGAAGGCAGAUACAUGGCCUUGAUCAGGCUGAAAGUAUUAUCAUCAACGGUCAAAACCAGUACAAAUCAUGAAGCCACUCUUUCCUUGUUUUUCUUCUUGCCUUCAAUUAUCAUCUUGCGAUUUUAUACCUUAACAUCAUUCGCAAUUUAUUACUUCAGUUCGGUCAUUGUUAGGUGAUGACAAUGUCUCCACCCCAGAGGCUUUAAAAGAACAGAGGAUUUCCACUGUAUUGUGGAUAGCAGUGUGAGAUCCAAAACAGAAGUAUGGAGGAAGCCCUUAAAUCAACCUUAUUGCUUUCAUGUUUUUGGGUUAAACAUGACAAGUAAUCAAUGGGUGGAUAGAAAGCUCAAAUCCGAAUGUUUUGCUACAGCUGCCACUGAACAGAAUUGGAAAGUCACUCCUGCAAUAAUUGAGGUUUCAGCCAGAAAUGUGCACUAUUUUUAGCUUGGCUGAUGGCGGGGACAAAAAAUCUGCAGAGCUCGAGUACUACCCUGCUGUUUAUGGCUCUGAAAAGAAGUAGGAGGAGCUGUGCAUGUGUUUUAAUUCUGUGGAGAGCUUAAAUGGUACUGCAUCAGAAGCAAGCAUUUCCAACUACAACUGUAAUCUUGACAAUAAGAAUAACUCAUUGGCAAUAUUAGGGGUGCAAAUUGACUUGGAAGAUACUAGUCAUGUUCUUUUAUCAUCAUUUGCACAAUUGUUAAUGUGUCUCUGAAUCUUGAUGAGAGAAAUCAUGUUCAUUUAUUUUCACCUACACAGAGAAUACCAGAAUGAUGAUGAACACAUAUACCCCAUGUAGAAUUAUGAAAAAUAUUUGCAUGACAACAGCACGACAGAGAUCAGAUUCUGGAGAGCAUCCGUGUUUUCUGGACUCUUGGGGAAACUAGUCGACCACAUGAAUGUGAUGCUUCAGCAUCAUCUGGCUUGUGAUCUUGGUGAGAAAGAAAAUAGAUAAGAAUGCCUUUGAAGUACGUGACAUUGCAUGUCAUUAUACGUCAUCAAUCACGGACAAUGGUGUGAGAUCCAAACCAAAUAUCUGGGAUAUGGAUGCAAGGAGGGACGCUCUUUAAGCCGAUUGCAUUGCUUCUUGUGAUUCUAGGGAUGGGUGUAAGAAGAGGAGGAGGGUGGAAAUCGAGCACAGAGAGAACGGGAAGAGAUUGAGGGGUCCAGCAUCAUCUGGUGGUCUGUUUCUGUCUUCCUUCUGGUGGACGACGAUGGGAUGACUAAUUCGAAAGUGAGAUUCAUGCUCACUGAUUGCUUUGACCCUUGUGCUCCAGCUUGAAUGGAAGGAUCUUCAUGUUGGGUCUUCAUUGCUUCUGGUUGCCAUAUCUUCAGAGUCCAGCUUUCUAGUUGAAUGGAAUUGCUCCUCAUCUCCUUCUGACUGGGGAAAAUGCAAAAGCUUGAGCUGUGAUAAUAGAAGUCCAUUGGUUUCUUCUUUCACCAGGGGUUAGCAAGCUCUGAAACCGGUUACAAACUCUAUGCUAGUCAACUGUUGCCCGCACCUAUGUGAAAUUCAGAGUACAAAGUUGACUGAAUCUGACAGUAAGUGGCUUUUCUUUUAAGUUACCUGAAGAUUUCAGUUCACAAAAAGGUGUCGAAGAAUGACGUUGAGUUGUUCUUGAGAAAUAUCUGGUCGUUGGCCAGUUCAACUAUGAAUUUGAAGAUUGUGUCUCUAGCAGGGAUGGGUUAUGUUUGAUGCAGGGGUGGAGACUGCUUUGGCCAACUUAUUGUUUGUUCCUUAGCUUUUCAACAUUUUUCUUUUCUCAUGUUGGGCAAGAAAGUUGGUCCACGAUGGAGCUAUGCCCUCGAUCGCUGGUGCUGCAUUGUUCCGUUGUUGAGUCUUUCCCUGAUUCGCCUUCAAAACUUCAUCUAUGCUGCUUGGGAAGCUUGAUUGUGGAAUGGUAAGGAAAAAGAUCAAUCUUUGGAGCUUAGUUUGGAGGCUUUAGAUGUUGCCAUCGUAACAUAAGCAACAUUUGUUUUGUCCAAUUUGAUUGUUGCAGAUAAUUAUAUGUCACUGUUCAAAUCUGCUUUUGUUGAACAAGUGUACUAUAUUUUUACAUUAAUACAUAAAAGGUAGUUUGGGGUGUUCAUCCACAAGUUUAAGAGUUGAAGCACGCCGGUUGGUAGAGGAGUUACUGAUUUGGUGUUAAUUCUUAUCCCUAGUAGUUUGGUGCAGUAUGUUGUAAUUGACUUAUGGUGAUGAAGUUGCUGUAAUACUUGGGAUUUGACCAAGUAAAAAAGAAAAAAAGAAAACAAAAGAGAAGGUUGAAAAGUCAACUAAACAAGGGAAGUGGUCGUUGGCUUAAGGGGAGAAAAAAGAGACGCUUAGCUUCCUCUUUAAAAGCUCAUGUAGAAAGAAAAUGAAGGUAAGAGAGAAAGAAAAAGAUCUGAUUUUGGAGAUUGCUAACAUCUCCUACUAAACAAAAAACAUAGCAGCAACUGGAGGAAGUUGUUUGAGCAAAGUAAGUGUAAUGUUUCUGUGUUAUAUGGCUCAUGAUCAUGAAAUGAAAUAAAAAGAUCAGAUUGCCUCCAAAAGGAUAUUUGAUGUCUUCAGUCAAAUAGCACGAGAUUCUUCAUUCUUGACGUGGUAUCGAUCUGCGCUUGUGUAAAUAAAGUCAUGGAAGUGGGUAGUGAAGGUACCAUAGAUGUGUUUGGCAUUUUCUCAAAGCCAGGGCACUAAUGUCAAGAUGAUGAAUCUCCAUGGAUCUGUAUCAAACUUUGUUUGUCGCUUAAUAUGCCAAUGUGAAGGUUGCUCUCUUUGAAGGCAGAUAUAUGACCUUGAUCAGGCUGAAAGUAUUAUCAUCAAGAGUGGAAAUCCAGUACAAAUCAUGUUGCCGCUCUUUCCUUGUUUUGCUUCAUGCCUUUAUAAAUCAUCUUGCAAAUUUGUAUCUUAACAUCAUUGGCAAUCUAUUACUUCAGUUUGGUCAUUGUUUGGUGAUGACGAUGUCUAUGCCCUAGAGGCUUUAGAAGAACAGAGGAUUUCCACUGUAUUGUGGAUAACAGUGUGAGAUCCAAACCAGAAGUAUGGAGAAGUCCUUAAAUCAACCAUAUUGCUUUCAUGUUUUUGGGAUAAACAUGACUAGUAAUCAAUGGGUGGCUAGAAAGGUGAUUUGCUUUAGUCUUUUAAUGUUUGAGAGCUGAUCUAGAUCUCUAAAUGCCAUCUUUUCUUGAACUACAGCUCAAAUCAGAAUGUUUCGUUACAGCUGCCACUGUAUGGAAUUGGUUUCAGCCAGAAAUGUGCACCAUUUUUGGCUAGGCUGAUGGCGGGGACAAAAAAUCUUCAGAGCUCGGGUACUACCCAGCUGUUUAUGGCUCUGAAAUGAAGUGGGAGGAGCUGUGCAUAUGAUUUUUAAUUCUGUGGAGUGUUUAAAUGGUACUGCAUCAGGAGCGAGGACUUCCUACUAAAACUGUAAUCUUGACAUAGGAAUAGCUCACUGGCAAUAUUAGGAGGGCAAAUUGACUUGGAAGAUAGUUGUCAUGUUCUUUUAUUGUCACUUGCACAGUAGUUUGAUGCGUGUCUUUGAAUCCUGACGAGAAAAAUCGCGUUCUUUUAUUAUCAUAUUCAGUUGAGAAUACCCAUCUCACAUUAGUAUUUUCAGUCUAGCAUGGGGCUUUUCAUGUCGAUGUCUUAUUGUUUUCUGUCUUAUUUCAACGAAUCUUGGGGAAAUUGGUCGACCACUUGAAUGUGAUGCUUCAG
Eucalyptus grandis is the source of this 4719-nucleotide long non-coding RNA. RefSeq lists it as uncharacterized. The record is from RefSeq and is a predicted model, not a curated record. NCBI's taxonomy places the organism in Eukaryota, Viridiplantae, Streptophyta, Magnoliopsida, Myrtales, Myrtaceae. The transcript has 11 exons.